Molecule: small nuclear RNA, 107 nt
Filed under: Microcebus murinus (gray mouse lemur)
Lineage: Eukaryota; Metazoa; Chordata; Mammalia; Primates; Cheirogaleidae
Source: RNAcentral
GUGCUUGCUUCAGCAGCACAUAUACUAAAACUGGAACGAUACAGAAAAAAUUGGCAUGGCCCCUGCGCAAGGAUGACAGGCAAAUUUGUGAAGCGUUACAUAUUAAA